Molecule: ribosomal RNA, 1442 nt
Filed under: Limosilactobacillus reuteri
Lineage: Bacteria; Bacillati; Bacillota; Bacilli; Lactobacillales; Lactobacillaceae
Description: bacterial SSU rRNA
Rfam family: Bacterial small subunit ribosomal RNA
Source: RNAcentral
UGCAAGUCGUACGCACUGGCCCAACUGAUUGAUGGUGCUUGCACCUGAUUGACGAUGGAUCACCAGUGAGUGGCGGACGGGUGAGUAACACGUAGGUAACCUGCCCCGGAGCGGGGGAUAACAUUUGGAAACAGAUGCUAAUACCGCAUAACAACAAAAGCCACAUGGCUUUUGUUUGAAAGAUGGCUUUGGCUAUCACUCUGGGAUGGACCUGCGGUGCAUUAGCUAGUUGGUAAGGUAACGGCUUACCAAGGCGAUGAUGCAUAGCCGAGUUGAGAGACUGAUCGGCCACAAUGGAACUGAGACACGGUCCAUACUCCUACGGGAGGCAGCAGUAGGGAAUCUUCCACAAUGGGCGCAAGCCUGAUGGAGCAACACCGCGUGAGUGAAGAAGGGUUUCGGCUCGUAAAGCUCUGUUGUUGGAGAAGAACGUGCGUGAGAGUAACUGUUCACGCAGUGACGGUAUCCAACCAGAAAGUCACGGCUAACUACGUGCCAGCAGCCGCGGUAAUACGUAGGUGGCAAGCGUUAUCCGGAUUUAUUGGGCGUAAAGCGAGCGCAGGCGGUUGCUUAGGUCUGAUGUGAAAGCCUUCGGCUUAACCGAAGAAGUGCAUCGGAAACCGGGCGACUUGAGUGCAGAAGAGGACAGUGGAACUCCAUGUGUAGCGGUGGAAUGCGUAGAUAUAUGGAAGAACACCAGUGGCGAAGGCGGCUGUCUGGUCUGCAACUGACGCUGAGGCUCGAAAGCAUGGGUAGCGAACAGGAUUAGAUACCCUGGUAGUCCAUGCCGUAAACGAUGAGUGCUAGGUGUUGGAGGGUUUCCGCCCUUCAGUGCCGGAGCUAACGCAUUAAGCACUCCGCCUGGGGAGUACGACCGCAAGGUUGAAACUCAAAGGAAUUGACGGGGGCCCGCACAAGCGGUGGAGCAUGUGGUUUAAUUCGAAGCUACGCGAAGAACCUUACCAGGUCUUGACAUCUUGCGCUAACCUUAGAGAUAAGGCGUUCCCUUCGGGGACGCAAUGACAGGUGGUGCAUGGUCGUCGUCAGCUCGUGUCGUGAGAUGUUGGGUUAAGUCCCGCAACGAGCGCAACCCUUGUUACUAGUUGCCAGCAUUAAGUUGGGCACUCUAGUGAGACUGCCGGUGACAAACCGGAGGAAGGUGGGGACGACGUCAGAUCAUCAUGCCCCUUAUGACCUGGGCUACACACGUGCUACAAUGGACGGUACAACGAGUCGCAAGCUCGCGAGAGUAAGCUAAUCUCUUAAAGCCGUUCUCAGUUCGGACUGUAGGCUGCAACUCGCCUACACGAAGUCGGAAUCGCUAGUAAUCGCGGAUCAGCAUGCCGCGGUGAAUACGUUCCCGGGCCUUGUACACACCGCCCGUCACACCAUGGGAGUUUGUAACGCCCAAAGUCGGUGGCCUAACCUUUAUGGAGGGAGCC